ACACACACACACACACAGCUCAGUAACUGAAGGUGCCCCUGUUUGGUGGCCCAGGACAAAAGGCUGGCCUACAGAGAGAGAGAGAGCGAGCAAUUGUGGGGUUAGAAGUGAAGCAGAUUACAGCUACUUAUUUCAAUACCGCCAGAACCCACGAGAUUAUGAUGGCAAAUAAGGUAUACUGGAUAAAGUUUCUCCUGAGGGAAUUCAGAGUACAGAUAUCUAGUGCACAGCGUCCCAACUUUUGUGGAAUUGGGGUGCAGAACACCGCUGCCCUGAUGCACAACCAAUUAAGACUGAAAGUGAGACAGAAAGAGCUCAGGGUUUAAUAAUGAACACUCCAGAAACAGAGAGACACCGGCUGUGAG
Molecule: long non-coding RNA, 365 nt
Organism: Ictalurus punctatus (channel catfish)
Lineage: Eukaryota; Metazoa; Chordata; Actinopteri; Siluriformes; Ictaluridae
Source: Ensembl